CCUACGGGAGGCAGCAGUGGGGAAUAUUGGACAAUGGGGGGAACCCUGAUCCAGCCAUGCCGCGUGUGUGAAGAAGGCCCUCGGGUUGUAAAGCACUUUCAGUGAGGAAGAACGCCUGGUGGUUAAUACCCAUCAGGAAAGACAUCACUCACAGAAGAAGCACCGUCUAACUCCGUGCCAGCAGCCGCGGUAAUACGGAGGGUGCGAGCGUUAAUCGGAAUUACUGGGCGUAAAGCGCGCGUAGGUGGCUUGAUAAGCCGGUUGUGAAAGCCCCGGGCUCAACCUGGGAACGGCAUCCGGAACUGUCAAGCUAGAGUGCAGGAGAGGAAGGUAGAAUUCCCGGUGUAGAGGUGAAAUGCGUAGAGAUCGGGAGGAAUACCAGUGGCGAAGGCGGCCUUCUGGACUGACACUGACGCUGAGGUGCGAAAGCGUGGGUAGCAAACAGGAUUAGAUACCCUAGUAGUC
Molecule: ribosomal RNA, 465 nt
Filed under: Vreelandella stevensii
Lineage: Bacteria; Pseudomonadati; Pseudomonadota; Gammaproteobacteria; Oceanospirillales; Halomonadaceae
Description: partial 16S ribosomal RNA
Rfam family: Bacterial small subunit ribosomal RNA
Source: RNAcentral